Molecule: ribosomal RNA, 248 nt
Filed under: uncultured Lachnospiraceae bacterium
Lineage: Bacteria; Bacillati; Bacillota; Clostridia; Lachnospirales; Lachnospiraceae
Description: partial 16S ribosomal RNA
Rfam family: Bacterial small subunit ribosomal RNA
Source: RNAcentral
UACGUAGGGGGCGAGCGUUAUCCGGAUUUACUGGGUGUAAAGGGAGCGUAGACGGUUAAUCAAGUCUGAAGUGAAAGCCCGCGGCUCAACUGCGGAACGGCUUUGGAAACUGAGUAACUGGAGUGCUGGAGGGGCAGGCGGAAUUCCUGGUGUAGCGGUGAAAUGCGUAGAUAUCAGGAGGAACACCGGUGGCGAAGGCGGCCUGCUGGACAGUAACUGACGUUGAGGCUCGAAAGCGUGGGGAGCAA